GCCAGUUUAACAGCUGGGCAAUAGUAUAGACCAUUGCCUUAUUCUAAAUCCCAACUCCAGAGAAGACGUGUACCGCUAUCACAUAAUGCCAUGACCAGUGUGCUGACCUUGCUGUCCAAGGAAAAACUUCAUCUCCUGGCCCCAUAUUCUAGAAGACUGAAGAUUUCAUUCCAUGAAAGGUUUUCUUGCAACCUACAUAGCACUGGCUGGGCAAGCAGAAGUUCUGAGUCGCACUGCGCCUCCCAUGCCAGUGAAGGCAAACUUCUGGCAAAGAACACCAAUGUUAUCACAGCCCCCUGCUCACUGGCUUCUCAUCGUCCUUCCUGCAUCCUGGCCCUGCAGGAAAGCAUGAUAUACCUGGGGUUGUUGGGGAAGGGAAGCUUCUUGGUAUGAAAUGCAGUGGUACGAAAUUAAUGGUGGAGGCUUCUCAUCAGUGAUCCUGCCUGGAUCAAGCAGGCAACACUAGAGGAGUCUCAGGCUCACACUGCUGGAAGGACUUAAUUGCCCUAGGGGACAUAAAACAGAAUCCAGCUACAAAGUUUUGGUCUCCAUCCCAGAUACUUAGUCUAUUAAAUGAGUCAGGAGGUUACGACUGAAAAGAAAUAAGCCCCUCAGCAGAAGUGCAUUUUGCAAUCUGCUCUGUUUGGAAAGGUGCUGAUGCAGUCAGGCUGCCAGCAUCAGGAGAUGGACUGAUUGCUGUUGCACCAGAUGGGGUAGGGGAGAAAGGAGAGGGAAAAUGGGCAUUUGCAGGCUCAUUGGAGAGGGCAGAAGUUGUGCUUUUCUACGCAUUUAGAUACUCCUCUAAAACGCUAGUGUAUGGUUUCAGCAGGUUGUAACUGAAGGCAGUAACACUUUCUCUAGACAUAGGCUAUUGAGAGUCUUUGUGAUGUGGCUAAGGAGAGUGGGAGGUCUAGUAGCUGGGGGCAGAGGUCUGAGAGCUACUCAGUCACUUUGUCACUUAGGGCAAGUUGUUUGACCUUUCUGCAUGUGCUUGCGCCGAGACAGAUAAAGUGGCUUGACACCAGACUUUCAUGAAAUAGCAGAAACUUAAUCUGAAAUAAACUUCCCUGAGUUCACUGAAGAGGUCA
Molecule: long non-coding RNA, 1088 nt
Organism: Numida meleagris (helmeted guineafowl)
Lineage: Eukaryota; Metazoa; Chordata; Aves; Galliformes; Numididae
Source: Ensembl